Molecule: non-coding RNA, 72 nt
Organism: Empidonax traillii (willow flycatcher)
Lineage: Eukaryota; Metazoa; Chordata; Aves; Passeriformes; Tyrannidae
Source: the annotation of a RefSeq genome assembly
CCCCUGGUGGUGAAGUGGUUAAAGCACAGCGCUGUGAACGCUGAGACCCGGGUUCGAGUCCCGGUCAGGGUC